Molecule: ribosomal RNA, 348 nt
Filed under: uncultured Leptolinea sp.
Lineage: Bacteria; Bacillati; Chloroflexota; Anaerolineae; Anaerolineales; Anaerolineaceae
Description: bacterial SSU rRNA
Rfam family: Bacterial small subunit ribosomal RNA
Source: RNAcentral
CCCUUCGGGAGCUUGCACAGGUGCUGCAUGGCUGUCGUCAGCUCGUGUCGUGAGAUGUCGGUUAAGUCCGCUAACGAGCGCAACCCUCGUCGUGUGUUAUACGUGUCACACGAUACUGCCGGUAUCAAGCCGGAGGAAGUGGGGAUGAUGUCAAGUCAGCAUGGCCUUUAUAUCCUGGGCUACACACACGCUACAAUGGCAGAUACAAUAGGUUGCGAAACCGCGAGGUGGAGCCAAUCCUCAAAGUCUGUCUCAGUUCAGAUUGUAGGCUGCAACUCGCCUGCAUGAAGUUGGAGUUGCUAGUAAACGCAGGUCAGCUAUACUGCGUUGAAUACGUUCCCGGGGUUU